This 7062-nucleotide long non-coding RNA is filed under the name Lactuca sativa (garden lettuce). RNAcentral describes it as "long non-coding RNA (LSAT_LNC009487)". The record is from RNAcentral. Lineage: Eukaryota; Viridiplantae; Streptophyta; Magnoliopsida; Asterales; Asteraceae.
AAUUCUCUCAAGUUAAUCCAAGUGUUUUGGUGAUUGUGAUUCCAUUUGAGGCUUCCACACUAUUGGGGCUAGGCACUCAAGCUUCAUGAAGACUUUCUACAUCAAAAAGGUAUGUAUUCUAUCUUGUUACAUUCAUUGUUUUGUAUGCUAGAUUAGGAUAAUACCUUGGAAGUUCUUAUUUGCAUGUAUAAUAGAGAAAACAUAGAUCCAAGGUAUUUAGGGUUGCAUGUACACUUAGGAGUGUUAGAAUGCUCAAAACCCAACAGUGGUAUCAGAGCCUAGGCUUGUUUUCUUGUUAUACCUGCAAUAGAAGCUGAAAAAACGAAUUUGGUGCUGUCUGGCCAUCAGACUCGGCGAGUCCAUCAGGAGACUCGACGAGUCCAUGCCUAAAAAGUGAUGAAUUCGAUCCAACUCGCCGAGUUUGUUCAUGCACUCGACGAGUUGGACCCCCAGACAGCAUAUUUUCGAGUUUUUUGGCUAGAAAUGGACUAGGAACAUUACCCUAAGUUGUUUUUGAACUUAUAAACUUGUUUUUGAUGUGGUAAUGUUCAUGCUAAUCCAUUUUCAAAGAUAAUUGUCAAUAGAUUCAUGUUUUGUAUUAGUUUAAGGUUUAGACUAAUUACAUGAAAAAGUUUGAUUUGAAUUAUCUUGUUCUUAUGAGUUGCUUAGAUUAAUAGAAAAGUUAAUUGAAAUAGUUGUUUUCAAUCCAUUUUAAUCUAAGAGUUGAGUAUAAAAUGUGUUUGUGUAACUUGUCCUCAAGUUACAUGAAGAGUCACAUUAAAGACUCAUAAAACUCAUAAUAGUUGGCAAUGGUUACAAAAUGAAGAGUCUUGUGUCAUUGAAUAAUUUUUUUUGACUCCAUAACUUGUCCUCAAGUUAUGGAAGUUCAAGAGUCACUUCAUUAAAGAAAAAUAUGUAACCAUAAUUAAAUCCAUAAGUUAUAAAAUAAAGAAAAAGUUAGUUCUUUUAUUAGUUUAAAGUCUUCCAUAACUUGUCCUCAAGUUAUGGAACUUGAAGAGUUUUUGGAUUAAAACUACUUUAAACACAUAAGUUAUGGAAUUAAUUAGUUUUGAAUAGUUUCAAAACUUGCCCUCAAGUUUUGGAAUUUGAAAAGUUUUCACUUAUGAAUACUUUAAUUCCAAGUUAGCCCUUAGAAUUUUAAAAGUUAAAAUUCAACCCUUAUACUUUAUAAUAUUAUAAGUUAAUAAUAUAUAUAUGUAUAAGAGUAAAGUCAGUCUUACCGCUAGUACGCCUCAUUCACGAAGCCGGUCUAUAAGGUGGGUAUAAGGUUGUUGCCUAUAAAAUGGCAACUUAAUGGGUGUCCACUCUCACCCACCGCUUGCUUGACUGGUGGAGGGUCGUUAGCCGAACGGGUUUGACAGGACUAGAAUUCUCCCUUCAUUAAAAGUAUUAAUGAUAAUACUAAGUAACUAAACUCUUAAUAAUACCCAAUCUUAGUUACUUAGGAAAAAUGUGAAUAAGGUGCUAAUCCAUGAAAUUACACUUUACACUUUGUCUAAGUCGUUAGUGGAGCGUGUGUGGUUAACCGGCACACUAACUUGGACUUAACAAGGUAGGUAAAGGGUGACUUAAUAUUUAUCAUAGUAUCGAUGGAGCGUGUGUGGUUAACCGGCACAUCGAUUGAGGGGUAAUUUAUUAAGGGUACCAAGUGAUUUGCAUGGUUACUUCACACCUUGUUUUGUGAUCCUCGGCAUCCCAGUCACAAAACCUGAAGGGCACACUCGAGAUUGAAACAUGCCUUUGAAAAGUUCAAUGAAUCUCAAAGAUCUAGGAGUUUCAAAACCAAUUAAAACCUAAUAAUACAUUUCGUUUAUCUUGGUGGAAAUUGGUGAAUCGUCAUUCACCUACCUUCAAAUAUUUUAUAGCUUGGAUUACGGCAUACCUCUUCUAAGUUAUAAAAUAGUUUGUUGGGUCCUAGCCUUAAUAUUUCAUAUUGGGUGUCAUAUUAAGGACUUUAAAUCAACUAUCUUGAAUAUCUCCCAAAAGAUGUCUGGUUUAGACACCUAUGAUCUUCCCAAAUCUCUUGAAACAAGGUUUCCUAAUGAAGAUGAUGUCCCAUGGAUAUCAUACUUCUUCACCUCUUCAAAUUAUUCUCCCUAACCCACAAGUUCUUGAAAAGUUUAAGGUCACUCAGGCCCUAUUGGCAAGGCAAGGUCUAGGUGUGGUCACAUCUUGGAGAUGUAGUCACAUAUUGACAAGCCGGGAGAGUUGGGUGUCAAAGUCUUGAGAAAGUUGGUGGUUCAAUCACUUUCUAAGUCACAUAGUGAGUUCCUUUGGGACACCUAUGAAACAGACUAUGACAAGACCCUUAAUGAUCUUAUCUAUUUGCUAAGAUCAACUUCCUAAAACUUUAUGGACAUUGACAAUGAUGACAUUGGAUAUCCAGUAAAGCAUUCUCUUCCCAAUGGAAAGGGAUCGGCCAUAGUCAACUCGGUUGACCAAAUGGUAAAGAGAAAAGCUAAGUCUGUGAUAGUCCUGUGUACCAUUAUCAAAGGGUCCAUAUGUUUAUAUUGCCAAAGGAAGGGGCAUUGGUUGCGAAGCUGCCAAAUUUACCUAAGGAUGUUAAAGUCAAUAAGUUUGACUCUACUUCAGGUAAAGUCCACUAUCUAACUCUGUUAAGUUUCUAUUCUGAGAUUCUUGAUACAUGAUGUGACUGGGUCACAUGGUGAUGUUUUAAGAAUCAAAGAAAAGUGAAGAAACUUAAAGAAAGAAUAUGCUGAAUCUGAUGGCGUAGAUGGAUUUCUAUCGCAUAGUUUGAAGAUCGGAUUCUUGAGCUACUUCUUAGGAGUUAUGAGAUAUUGCUUAGGAAUAGAUAACAACAAGUUUUCAUAUGGAUUGUAAGGAUAAGUUUUUCCGCAAAGUUUUAAAAUAAAAGAAAAUUUUUUUGAUUUUAUUUAUUUUAAAAUAUCCUUACAAUGGCAUUUGAGGAAAAAUUGUUGCUUAUAUGAUUCCAUUAAGAGCAAGAGUGGAAAUAUGAAAUUGAUUCUUUCAUUUGUGGUAAUGUCUAAAUUUACCAAAUAAGGAAAGAUUCUCAUCACCCAAGUUUCAAUUGGACCGGAACUUGGAAUCAUGCAAGUUGUAUAGCAUGAUGAAUGAGAACUUUCAAGUUUUGGAAAAUUAAGACUAAUUACUUGUUCACAUGGAUGUGUGAGUCAAGUAAAGGACUUAGGGAUCGAGUACACAUUCUUGUGCACUGAUUAAGUCCACCACUAAAGAUCGAUAAGAAGAAUCAAAUAAGGCAGAAGGAUAAAAGUUUCUCAAAUCUGAAAAGAUGGGAGAGUACUUUAGUAUCAGUUUUGUGAUCAUCUUAAUGAUUAAGAAACCAUAUCAAAAUUAGUUCUCUAAGGAAAUCUUAGUGCAUUCUUAUGACUAAGAAGAGGAACUUGAAUUGUUGAAAUGGUUAAAUCAAGAAGAUGAGUCAUACUUCGUUCCAAUACAAGUCUUAGAGUCAUACUCCAAGAUUGUCAUUUGAGUGACAUGUCUUAAAGAAGGUUUAAAACACUUGUCAAAUGUAAGAGUAAAAGUUUUCUACUCUUGUACAUUUGAAAUUGGUAAGUUGUGAUGUUUUGGAUAAAACAAAGACCAACUUAGGCCAAUUGGGUAAAGUGUUUUUCUUGAUUAGAAUCCGCACUAUCUCUUGGAUGUUUGACAAGGGAGUCUUAUAUGUCAAGAGGACAGUGGGAGUCUUAAAGGUCUUGAAAGUCUCAAGAAAUAAUCAAGAAUAAAACCUAAAGUUCUUCACUAGCACACGACUUGAGGUUUAUAACCUAUCGUGUUGACAUAUCUGUGCCCAUUCCAGUUAAAGUUGGCUUUGCAUAUGAGUUCUUAGAGUUCUCAGUUUGUUGCAUAACAACUUGGAAGCAAUGGCAGGCCCUUGAGCUGCCAGGUGGCAAGAAGUUAAGAUUGAGUUCAAUCCAUAUGGUUUUGGAUUUGUCAUUAUCUUUGUCUUGUGAUUAUGGUUUGACAAAUUCAUAUGGGUAGGAACUCAUACACCAUAUAAAUCUAAGUGUCAUAAGGUUUCUCUCCGAUUCAUGAAAAUGAUGGUGAGGAAACGCUUUCACUAAGUAGAUUUUACGAAGAUAUCAAUUGUGUUAUUUGCAUUUUCAAAAGUCGUUAGUGGAGCGCGUGUGGUUAACCGGCACACUAACAUGGACUUGUGAGAAAUGGCAAAUGCCUAAGCAAUUGAGACCAUGAUUACGGUAUCCCUUUUCAUGGUUCUUGAAAUUGCUUAGACACACAGGUGAGCUAUCUACGGAAAGGGUGUAUGAAUCUAAAUUUCAGACUGUCCAGCUGAUUUCUGAGUACAUGUCAAAGCUAGUGGGAGCAUAAGUGUUAUGCUAAUAAUCAUCAUGUUAGUGGGAGCAUGAUAAUUAUGAUAAGUAUUGCAAGUUAGCAAUGUUAAUUAUAGAAAACAAAAGUUUCAAUUGGGAAAAAGUUGUUUUGCUAUAAUUAAGGGAGAGGAAAUUAUGCUUCAUCUCAAAUCUAUAAGCUUAGAUCGUGAGGUUUUAAUCAUUUAGUCAAGGAUAUAUAUGAAUUUCAUGUUGGAAUGGCUCAACAUAAGGAAAUUCUGUAUAUGGGUCCAUUAUUUGCGUUCUAAAAUUCGAUUAUGAUUACGGCAUCCCUUUUCAUAAUCUGAAUUAUGAGAACUUGGCAAAUUGAAAUGGAAAUAUUAUAGCAAAAGACUGGUUUAGUCUUUAUGUAAGACAUCAUGAAUCGUGUCCCAUAUGCUUCGGAUAUAGGAUCGAUUACAUGUGCUAUAUUCAUCCGUUCUAAAAUUUUCCAAAUGCCUGGGGCAUUAAGAAGGGAAAAGGUUUAGAACUGGAUAUGACUAAAAGGAUUAAACAAUUGUCGAGGACAAUCUAAGGUUUACCAAAGAUUGGUUACUCAAGGACAAUUGGAAGUAUAGUGAUAAUUCUGGAAGGACCAUAUUGACAUAAUCUGUAAGGAGGCAACUCUUGUUCAGAAGUGAUAGUCAAAAUGGAAUCUGGAAAUGUUUCAAAGUUAGAAUUUUCAAUCUGUGUAAGAUUAAGGAAACUUAAUGCAAGAAGGAUAUUUCCAAGGAGUUGAUCUCCUUUGGAAUACUCUGUAAUGAUUGUUGCCAAGUCUUUGUGACUUUGUGCAUAAUCAUUACAAGAGGAUCAAUGCAUAUAAGUUUAGAAUCUAACAGAUUUCAGUAAAUGGCAUGAAUUUGGAAUUCUUGCAUUUGCAGUAAGGAUUUGGGAGUGUGAAAAGAGAAUCAUUGAAGUUAUGUUCAAUUGAUCUAGUUCACAAAGUAAAGAUCAUAGACAAACAUAGUAUGCAUACUUGGUGUGUGGCAUGACUAGUGUUUAAGAAAACAUAGUGUACAUGCUUGGAGCAUGGGACAACUAUUGUUUUAAAUUCAAGAAUAAAGUUGAUAGCUGAAACAGUAUACAAUGAAUAAUGUGUAAUCAUAUGGUGAUAAAUAAAAGGUGUUUUAUUUAUGUUCAAAGGGUUGAUACCAUAUUGGAUUCAAUUAUUAUUGUGUUUCAUUUUGCAUGUUUUGACUUCCCGAAUAAACUGGGUUAUUCUUCCGGAAUGACUAAGUUAUUCAAACCAUCCACAGUCGGUCAUAUGUUGGAAGUAGAUAUGAAUUAAGACUGUCAUGGGUUGGCUUGUAGAGGUCUAAGGUGUUGGACAAAGGGCUACAACACUCAUGAGUGCUCAUAAGUUCUGAGUAUUGGAUUCAACCCGCGCUCAUUGGAAUCACUUCAUGGAUUUUAUCACGAGUGAUCAUGAGACGAUAAUAUCUUAUAUUCUUCAAACCUAGAGAUAUGAGUUGUUACUAUGAGUUGAUAGUACAUUGAUUGCACGAAAACGCAUUUGGUAACUCGGUGCUAUAAAACGUGCCUUUGUGUAUGAUUCAACAAGUAGUAGAACAAGCCAUAUGAGUCGAAGUUUAUCCAUUCCUUUUACCUUCGGGAUAAAAGCGAUAUCUGUGGGCCCCUCGAUGAUUUGAUGAUGACAAAUGGAAGUGCUCGGCCGGGCCAGGACUGAUUUGAUUUGUUCAAUUAGUCAGUCGUCAUAAAUCGGAAAUCGGGAAACAACAAAUGGACAGAGAGAAUGAUUAUAAUCCAUGUCUCAGUCCAUAUGAUAUCUAGAAUGGAGGAAUAUAUGAUCCCUUAUCUAAUGGACAAGUCAUUGACAAAGGUCAGAGUUCAUCUACAAGGUCAGAGUUCGACAGAAGCUUUUGAGAGCUACGAUUGCCAGUUGGUUCCUGAAGUCAUACGCAAUAAUAGUUUUAGACUUAUCCAAGUGGGAGACUGUUGGAUUAAUGUCUAAGUCCAUAACUAUAAUUGGUAAGACUUGACCCGACCCGGCAUGGUCCAUUUGGGUUGCAUGGCAUCAUGCACUUGGAUAGACUAAAUGAGAGAAAUAAGACACUCAUAGUUAUUAAUAUAUUAUAAGUUCUAGUAUAUUAAUAAUAAGAAUAAUGAGAUUAUUUAAUUAGUAUUGAUCAAGAAUUAAUCUAGGAUUAAUUAAGUGAUCAAAAGAAGACUAAUUAAAUAUAUGGGUUGAUUGUGUAAAUCAUCCAUACUUGUAUAGUGGGCUAAGCUCCAUGGAUAAUCAAGUUGGGCUAAAACCCAUAGGAUGGUCCAUGGAUGCUCCAUGGUGUAUUUGAACCCAUGGAUCCAAGGAAAUGGAAAGUCAUGACAAUUAGGAUUUACCCUAAUUGUAACACUAUAUAAAGAUCACAUUCUUGGGAAAAAUCGGCCACUAGAGUGUGAAGUAAAAGGGCUAGCCGAUUUCAUGAGUUGUAGAAUUCUCUCAAGUUAAUCCAAGUGUUUUGGUGAUUGUGAUUCCAUUUGAGGCUUCCACACUAUUGGGGCUAGGCACUCAAGCUUCAUGAAGACGUUCUACAUCAAAAAGGUAUGUAUUCUAUCUUGUUACAUUCAUUGUUUUGUAUGCUAGAUUAGGAUAAUACCUUGGAAGUUCUUAUUUGCAUGUAUAAUAGAGAAAACAUAGAUCCAAGGUAUUUAGGGUUGCAUGUACACUUAGGAGUGUUAGAAUGCUCAAAACCCA